Regulatory RNA element from Acetobacterium bakii, 69 nucleotides. The record is from Rfam. Lineage: Bacteria; Bacillati; Bacillota; Clostridia; Eubacteriales; Eubacteriaceae.
AAAGUUAUGUAGCCGCACAUAAAAGGUUUUAAGUCGAAAGCACCUUUUGUGGCGAGUCUGGAAUGAGGA